GCCCUGGUAGUGUAGCGGCCUAUCAUGAGGGACUGUCACUCCCUCGACUCGGGUUCAAAUCCCGACCAGGGCG
Molecule: transfer RNA, 73 nt
Filed under: Methanobacteriota archaeon
Lineage: Archaea; Methanobacteriati; Methanobacteriota
Description: Euryarchaeota archaeon (groundwater metagenome) tRNA-Asp
Rfam family: tRNA
About the family: Transfer RNA (tRNA) molecules are approximately 80 nucleotides in length. Their secondary structure includes four short double-helical elements and three loops (D, anti-codon, and T loops).
Source: RNAcentral